RNAcentral lists this ribosomal RNA (935 nucleotides) under Nematoda sp. RNAcentral's name for it is "partial large subunit ribosomal RNA". It matches the Rfam family "Eukaryotic large subunit ribosomal RNA", at positions 84 to 900 of the family's 3401-position model. Lineage: Eukaryota; Metazoa; Nematoda. The record is from RNAcentral.
UAACGGCGAGUGAAAAGGGAUGAGCCCAGCGUCGAAUCACGUUGCUCCUUACCGGGUGACGAGAAAUGUGACGUAUAGGUGUUGCACUACCGAUUCGUGUGAACGUGUGCUCGAAGUCUUUUUGAACAAGGCUUUUAGCCUCAGAGGGGUGCAAGCCCCCGUACGAGUACUCGCGCGGGACGGUGUUUUGUGUUGCGCUUUGGAGUCGGGCUGCUUGAAAGUGCAGUCUAAAGUUGGGUGAUAAACAUCAUCUAAGGCUAAAUACGAAUACGAAUUCGAUAGCAAACAAGUACCGUGAGGGAAAGUUGCAAAGAACUUUGAAAAGAGAGUUCAAGAGAGCGUGAAACCACCGGAGUGGAAGCGGAUAGAGCCGACGUAGUCUUGUGGCAAAACCGUUCGCGUAUAGGCGAUCCGUCGUUGAUCGUCCUAGCGUAGCGGUGGUCGCCUACUGGGACUGCAUCGACGGCGUUGACGAAUAUUAUAGCCCAUUCCCAAGUCCGUUGGAUUGUUGCCCCGAUAUCGCUUGCCGGUACUUGGGGGUCUUUGUCAAUGCGGAACUCUGGUUGGUCGCCGUCAGCGUUGGCCACUCAAUGGUCCUCGGGCCAAUGUGCGUCAAUGGGAAAGUCGGUCACCUAUUCCGGCCCGUCUGGAAACACGGACCGGGAAGGGUAGUUAUUGUGCGAGUCGAAAAGGGCUCAAAACUCUUAUAUCCGGCGUAAGGAAAGUAAAAGACCGAACUUGUGGCGGUUGACCAUGGGGAUUUGGGGGUUCUCGGGGUCUUGCCAACGCACCAUGGUCCUAUCCGAAUGGCUUGCCAUUGGGUAGAGAUAGAGCAUAAUGGCUGCGACCCGAAAGAUGGUGAUCUAUGCUUGAGCAGGACGAAGCCCAGAGGAAACUCUGGUGGAAGUCCCGCAUCGGUUUUGACGUGCAAAUCA